Non-coding RNA from Paramuricea clavata, 603 nucleotides. The record is from the annotation of a GenBank genome assembly. NCBI's taxonomy places the organism in Eukaryota, Metazoa, Cnidaria, Anthozoa, Malacalcyonacea, Plexauridae.
AAUAUUUCGUAAGGUGUCCGCCACUGGCAAGGAAAGUGCUUUUUCACCCCCAAGGGAUCAAAGGCUGCAUGCAGAAUUUGCUGAAUCCUUAAAACUAGGAGUUACUAUCGCAAGGAAAGUGCUGCCUCACACCCAAGGGAUCAAAGGCAACAUGCAGAAUUUGCUGAAUCCUGCUUUGCCGAGACAAGAUGUGAGGCGGGAUUAUUUUGAUGUAUUGAAAUAAAUUACGGUGCACGAUUCAGCAAAAAACUACAUAGUUAACUGUAAACUAAAGGUUUUUCAAGCAGCAUUAAUAAUCUUCUUGAACUACAACAUUUGAAUUCUGUUAGCCAACAUUUGAACUUUCAUUUAGCCUAUAGUGACUUAUUUCAAUGCCUUCUAAUAUGUGUUAAACAGUCCCUAAGGCACCUGUUCAGGAGGUAGGAAAAGUGCAAUUUGAAUAUCAAACACCCUGCGCAAAGUCAAAGGACAGCUAACUAUUCUACUUCUACUUUCUUGGCAUGGGCGGUUUUAUAUGAAUACCUAUAAUUAUUAUACAAUGCUUAUAAUUUCUUGCUUUUGUAUGUACAAUUUUUGCUUUUGUAUGUCGAAUUAUAAUAUUGU